RNAcentral lists this ribosomal RNA (254 nucleotides) under uncultured bacterium. Its description in RNAcentral is "partial 16S ribosomal RNA". It matches the Rfam family "Bacterial small subunit ribosomal RNA", at positions 524 to 776 of the family's 1533-position model. The record is from RNAcentral.
UACGGGGGGGGCUAGCGUUGUUCGGAAUUAUUGGGCGUAAAGAGCUCGUAGGCGGUUCGGUAAGUCGGGUGUGAAACCUCCAGGCUCAACCUGGAGACGCCACCCGAUACUGCUGUGACUAGAGUCCGGUAGGGGAGCGUGGAGUUCCUGGUGUAGCGGUGAAAUGCGCAGAUAUCAGGAGGAACACCAGCGGCGAAGGCGGCGCUCUGGGCCGGAACUGACGCUGAGGAGCGAAAGCAUGGGGAGCGAACAGG